Long non-coding RNA from Clupea harengus (Atlantic herring), 868 nucleotides. The record is from Ensembl. NCBI's taxonomy places the organism in Eukaryota, Metazoa, Chordata, Actinopteri, Clupeiformes, Clupeidae.
AAACACAAUAAGAACACAUUGAAAAACACUUUGUUGACAGAUUUUUCUAUUAUGGGCUAAUCUACAAUUUUGGUAUAUAACAUCAACAUAUUGUGGGUAUCAUCCAUAGCCUACUUCACCAUUGUGUAGGGUAGGCUAAGACCAGGAGUUAUAUUACGAUUUGCUCAAUGUGCUGAGAUCACCCCAUCAUCAUUGUAAAGUCUUAUUGAUACAAGACGCUUCCUACUUAGGUUUUUCGGGAAACAAAUAAGGCUUACUUGAUUUCUAAAAUUAUAAAGGCCCACUUGUGCAACCCCUAAAUAUACUGAACUGAGGCCUGACAAUAUAAAUGAGACCAUUCCUUGUGGCAAGUCAACAAAAACAAGUAAAUAGUGGGUGAAAGUAGGUAGAUAGUAGGUAAAACUGUUUAGAAAAUGUGUGUCCUGCAACGGCAGUGUACUGUAUAUUUGCAUAUAUAUGUUAGAUCUUGGGUAGGCUACAUUCUUAUUUUGCAUGAUAUGAGAUGUGCUGUUAUGAGACAAUAGUUUGUACUUUGGUCUUUCUAGAAAACUGGAUGAACUCUGUGGUUGUUGGUUUGGGAGUGGCAUUAGGCGUGUGUGUUGCUGUGAUGACCCUUCUUAUUGCUUCACAUUUAAAGAGAUCUGUGUGUGAUCACUGCAAAGAGACAACUCCUAAUCAACUGCACUGUAACAACCCUGUGCUAGAGGCACCUCAGGGAAGUGAUACUGAGAUGAUGAACUACUCUUCUCUGCAUUUUUCUACGAAGAGAAAGAAGAGGGGAGAAAAGAACAAGGACUUGCAACCAGAGGUUGUUUACUCUGAUGUAAAACAUCUAAAAUGACAAAGGCUGAAUAUUCAUUCAUUGAGA